RNAcentral lists this transfer RNA (86 nucleotides) under Spiribacter sp. RNAcentral describes it as "tRNA-Leu". It matches the Rfam family "tRNA". Rfam says of the family: Transfer RNA (tRNA) molecules are approximately 80 nucleotides in length. Their secondary structure includes four short double-helical elements and three loops (D, anti-codon, and T loops). Lineage: Bacteria; Pseudomonadati; Pseudomonadota; Gammaproteobacteria; Chromatiales; Ectothiorhodospiraceae. The record is from RNAcentral.
GCCCGGAUGGCGGAACUGGUAGACGCACAGGACUUAAAAUCCUGGGGCUUUAUGCCGUGUGGGUUCGAGUCCCACUCCGGGCACCA